This 290-nucleotide unclassified non-coding RNA is filed under the name uncultured Glomus. Its description in RNAcentral is "sequence contains 18S rRNA gene". It matches the Rfam family "Eukaryotic small subunit ribosomal RNA", at positions 569 to 865 of the family's 1831-position model. Lineage: Eukaryota; Fungi; Glomeromycota; Glomeromycetes; Glomerales; Glomeraceae. The record is from RNAcentral.
AGCAGCCGCGGUAAUUCCAGCUCCAAUAGCGUAUAUUAAAGUUGUUGCAGUUAAAAGCUCAUAGUUGAAUUUCGGGAUCAAUUUGCUGGUCGUGCCUCUGGUACGUACUGGUAUUAUUGGUUUCUCCCUUCUGACGAACCAUGAUGUCAUUAAUUUGAUGUCGUGGAGAAUCAGGACUGUUACUUUGAAAAAUUGAGUGUUUAAAGCAGGCAUUAGCUUGAAUACAUUAGCAUGGAAUAAUGAAAUAGGACGUUUGAUUCCUAUUUUGUUGGUUUCUAGGAUUGACGUAA